UACGUAAGGUGCGAGCGUUAAUCGGAAUUACUGGGCGUAAAGCGUGCGUAGGCGGUUCGCUGUGUCCGAUGUGAAAGCCCCGGGCUUAACCUGGGAAUGGCAUUGGAAACUGGCGGGCUUGAGUGCGGCAGAGGGGGGUGGAAUUCCGCGUGUAGCAGUGAAAUGCGUAGAGAUGCGGAGGAACACCGAUGGCGAAGGCAGCCCCCUGGGUCGACACUGACGCUCAGGCACGAAAGCGUGGGGAGCAAACAGG
RNAcentral lists this ribosomal RNA (253 nucleotides) under uncultured bacterium. RNAcentral's name for it is "partial 16S ribosomal RNA". It matches the Rfam family "Bacterial small subunit ribosomal RNA", at positions 524 to 776 of the family's 1533-position model. The record is from RNAcentral.